RNAcentral lists this ribosomal RNA (119 nucleotides) under Setaria viridis. RNAcentral also lists the same sequence under 2 other names. Lineage: Eukaryota; Viridiplantae; Streptophyta; Magnoliopsida; Poales; Poaceae. The record is from RNAcentral.
GGAUGCGAUCAUACCAGCACUAAAGCACCGGAUCCCAUCAGAACUCCGAAGUUAAGCGUGCUUGGGCGAGAGUAGUACUAGGAUGGGUUACCUCCUGGGAAGUCCUCGUGUUGCAUUCC